UUUCAAGUUCGUAUGAGUAAGUUAUUCCCUUUGGAAUUUGGUUGUUUUGAAUAAGGAAAUGUCCAAUAUGGAUUUUAGAAGGGUAGUUUGGGUUUUUCCUUAUCGUUUUAUUUUAAUUUUUAUAGUAAUUAUUUAGUGGUCAAACUGAACUUAUUUAGUUUAUGCAUUAGAAAAUGUGUUGAGGCGCAACAUUUAGCUUGAUAUCUAGGGGUAAAGCAUUGUUUUGGUGUGGGCCGCGAAUGUGCUACGAAAUCCAGGGAAAAUGUGAAUACUAGAUGUGAUCUCAAAUAACACGGUCAAGGUCGUCUAGUGAGAUGAUGGGGGAUAAGCUUCAUCAUCGAGAGGCAAACAGCAUCGAUUACUAGGUAGGACCCAUAAAUGACUACUUAGUGAUAAAGGAGGUAGGGUUGUAGAGACAACCAAGAGGUUUUCUAGAAAGAGUGUGUAAUAGAUCACUGAUCGAGCGCUCUUGCACUGAAGAUGAGCUGGGCUAAGAGGUAUGCCGAAGCUGUGGAUGUAAAAAUACGUCGUUAGGGUAGCACUCCCCCUUAGAAAAAAUUCUUCCCUCGAUCUGUGGUUGAGGAAGCGAAAGCGAGAUUUUUACUUCGGUGACGUAAACAUUGGUGAGAAUCCAAUGCUCUAAAAAGCUAAGGGUUUCUCUGCAUGGUUCGUCCAUGGACGGUGAGCCAGGGCCUAAGAUAAGGCCUAAACACAUAGUCGAUGGACAACAGGUGAAUAUUCCUAUACUACCCCUUGUUCGUCUUGAGAAACGGAGAGGAGUAGGUUAUCGAAAAGCUGGUUAUCAGUUCAAGAACGUAAGCUGUCCCUGCUUUUUUAGAGUAAGAAGGGAUAUAAAAAAUGCGUCGAGCCAAUAUUCUAAUACCAGGCGCUACGUCACUAAAGUAACUCUUGUCAUACUCCUUUAAAAUCUCAAAAGACAUUAAUCAAGAGGGUACCUGUACCAAAAAUUGACACAGGUGGGUAGAUAGACAAUACAUAGGGGCAGGAGACAAGUCUCUCAAAGGAACUCGGAAAAUAUCCACGUAACUCAGGGAGAAGGGGUGCCUCCUAACAAAGGGGGCGUAGUGACUAGGACCAAGCGAAUGUUUACAAAAACAACAUGUCUCCACAAUGUUGAAAAACAAUGUAUGGGGUUGUCACCUACCAAGUGACGGAAAGAGAAGAAUGUUGGUUACUUGAUGAAAGGGGAGUCGGCGACCGAAGACACGGUCCAAGGCGGUGGUAACUAUAACGGUCCUAAGAUAGAGAAAUUCCUUGUUAGGUAAGUUCAAACAUACACGAAAGAUGUAAAAAUCUAGUGACGGUCUAGGAGAGAGGCUCGGUGAAAUAGACACGUUUGUGAAGAUGCGACCUACCUACACCAGGAUAGAAAGACCCUGUGAAGCUUCAAUUUUCACUAAGAUAGGAUUUGGGCCUUUCGUGUGCAACAUAGGUGGAAGGCAAAGAAAUCCUCCAUUCGGGGGGCUUCCAACCAUCAGUUAGAUAGCAAUCUAUAAGGGAUAAAAUUCUAACCUCAUGCAAGACCUACGAAGGGACAGUCAUAGGUAGACACUUUCUAUGAAGAGUUGGUCUCCCAAAAGGUAACGGAGGCAUGCAAAGGUUUUCUCAAUCCGGAAAGAGAUUGACCCUCGAGUGCAAAGAAAGAAAUGAUCUUGGCUGCAAGACCCACAUGUCGAGCGAGGACAAAAGUUGGCCUUAGUUAUCCAACAGUUCCGAGUGGAAGGUCCGUCGCUUAACAGAUAAAAGUUACUCUAGGGAUAAUAGGCUUAUCUUUCCCAAGAACUCACAUCGACGGGAAGGUUUUGCACCUCAUUGUCGUCUAUUCGCCACCUGGGGUUGUAGUAUGUUCAAAGGGUUGGGCUGUUUUCCCACUAAAGCAGUACGUGAGCUAGGUUCAGAAUGUCAUGACACAGUUCGGUCCAUAUCUAGUGUGGGUGUUAGAGCAUUGAGAGGACCUUUCCCUAGUACGAGAGGACCAAAAAGGAGGCACUUAUGGUGUACCAGUUAUCCUUCCCAUGUAAACUCUUGGUAGUCAAGUGCAAAACGAAUAACUGUUGAAAUCAUCUAAGUAGUAAGCCAACCCCAAGAUCAUUGUUCUCUUAUUCUUACAUCCCCAUAGCUUCCUGUAGGAGCGCCAAGAUAGCAAAGGGUUCUCUGGCCUUGCGAGUAUGGAGGGACAAGAUUUCUUUGGAGAAUUCAAGAGAAGGUCACAGUGAGAGGAGUCAUUUAACAUUACGAUAGAUGUCAAGUGGAUGUUAAGUGCUGUAUGCAGCUAAGUCAUCUUAACAAACCGGUAGACCUGAACCA
Solanum lycopersicum (tomato) is the source of this 2328-nucleotide non-coding RNA. The record is from Rfam. Lineage: Eukaryota; Viridiplantae; Streptophyta; Magnoliopsida; Solanales; Solanaceae.